GGAUUAGAUACCCUGGUAGUCCACGCAGUAAACGGUGAUCACUAGGUGUAGCGGGUAUUGACCCCUGCUGUGCCGGAGUUAACGCAUUAAGUGAUCCGCCUGGGGAGUACGAUCGCAAGAUUAAAACUCAAAGGAAUUGACGGGGGCCCGCACAAGCGGUGGAGCAUGUGGUUUAAUUCGACGCAACGCGAAGAACCUUACCUGGAUUUGACAUCCCGGGAAUCAUUAAGAAAUUUUUGAGUGCCCUUCGGGGAGCCUGGAGACAGGUGCUGCAUGGCUGUCGUCAGCUCGUGCUG
Molecule: ribosomal RNA, 296 nt
Filed under: uncultured bacterium
Lineage: Bacteria
Description: partial 16S ribosomal RNA
Rfam family: Bacterial small subunit ribosomal RNA
Source: RNAcentral